Molecule: long non-coding RNA, 845 nt
Organism: Vigna umbellata (rice bean)
Lineage: Eukaryota; Viridiplantae; Streptophyta; Magnoliopsida; Fabales; Fabaceae
Source: RefSeq, a predicted model, not a curated record
GUAAUUUGCUAUCCCUAUAAGCUUUUCGCAUGGGAUCAUUCGUUGUGUUGGUGAAAGUUACGGGAAAAACUUACUCCAAUUCCAAUUUUUAUUGGAUAGAGUUGAUCUAGCUGAAGCUAUCUCCCAUGCAGAUAGAAUAUAAAAAGAAAGUAUAGAGAGAUGGUGAGUUCUCGAAAAUGAAUAAUUAAAAUGUUAACAUUUUAAUUUAUAUAUUUAACAUAACUUAGAAUUUGAAUCUUAAUUAUUUUUAAACCAUCCUGACUGAAUUAGAAAAACCGGAUUUUACAACCUGAUGACACUAUUUACAUAAACAGGAAACCGUUGCCACUGAAUAUGAAAUGUUGAUUAUACAGUAUUUUCAUUCAUAUUGAAAACCCAAUAUAAGAUGGCCUUUUUUCCCCCUUCCCACCCAAAUGAAGUGUGAGAGAAUUGUUAAGAUCUUCUGUAUGCAACCUUUGCUCCAAACUCGCUGACAUAUGUUCUUGAUGUAGCUUGCUUUAGUGUUCAUGUGAGAGGGUCUGAGUAUAUUCCACUUCUGGGAACCGACGAUCCAAGUUCUUUCCUGGUGGGAGUUCCAGAUAUUGAACUAUGAGCUAUCCAUUGGACGCUUUGUGAGAUCUGUCAAUGAGAGAUAGUCUGCUAGAAGGUUUUGGAGGUUGAUAUCAUUGCAUGGACCAAUCUCAACAAUAUUGUGUUUUUCCCAUGAUCAUCGAAGAGGAUGUUUAAGCUGUUCUUGUAAAGGUUGAUCAUUAUCACAUAAUGUUGUUGAACUUGUUCUAAAUAGUAUGAGAUUAAAGAAAACUGGUAAGUUUGAAUGAACUAUGCUAUCAUUCGAGCAUUUAAGC